This 76-nucleotide transfer RNA is filed under the name Bacillus pseudomycoides. RNAcentral describes it as "tRNA-Val". It matches the Rfam family "tRNA". From Rfam's summary of the family: Transfer RNA (tRNA) molecules are approximately 80 nucleotides in length. The record is from RNAcentral. Lineage: Bacteria; Bacillati; Bacillota; Bacilli; Caryophanales; Bacillaceae.
GGAGGAUUAGCUCAGCUGGGAGAGCACCUGCCUUACAAGCAGGGGGUCGGCGGUUCGAUCCCGUCAUCCUCCCCCA